AAUGGCGUAUACAAAGAGAAGCGACCUCGCGAGAGCAAGCGGACCUCAUAAAGUACGUCGUAGUCCGGAUUGGAGUCUGCAACUCGACUCCAUGAAGUCGGAAUCGCUAGUAAUCGUAGAUCAGAAUGCUACGGUGAAUACGUUCCCGGGCCUUGUACACACCGCCCGUCACACCAUGGGAGUGGGUUGCAAAAGAAGUAGGUAGCUUAACCUUCGGGAGGGCGCUUACCACUUUGUGAUUCAUGACUGGGGUGAAGUCGUAACAAGGUAACCGUAGGGGAACCUGCGGUUGGAUCACCUCCUUA
RNAcentral lists this ribosomal RNA (305 nucleotides) under Providencia rettgeri. RNAcentral describes it as "partial 16S ribosomal RNA". It matches the Rfam family "Bacterial small subunit ribosomal RNA", at positions 1229 to 1533 of the family's 1533-position model. Lineage: Bacteria; Pseudomonadati; Pseudomonadota; Gammaproteobacteria; Enterobacterales; Morganellaceae. The record is from RNAcentral.